CUAUAGACUAGAACUCCCCAUUGCUAAUAUAGUCCUGAAAUGCCUAAUAUUAAUGUUUUUUUAGGAAAGAUAAAGGAGGUGCCUGUUUGAGAGAAAUCAAAAGUCGUCUUUCUUUUUAUUCAACUCCUUUCCCUUUGACUUGCAUACUUGAUUAUAUUUAGAAGGAUCGGGGAUUGAACCUUUUCUUGAGAGAAAAUGUUCGACAGUUU
Molecule: long non-coding RNA, 209 nt
Filed under: Nicotiana benthamiana
Lineage: Eukaryota; Viridiplantae; Streptophyta; Magnoliopsida; Solanales; Solanaceae
Description: long non-coding RNA (NBEN_LNC000294)
Source: RNAcentral